AGCAAAAAUAAUGAGAGAAUGUAAUUGGGUGAUAAAUACAGUUAGUAAUCAAUAACAAUUUAUUAUGUGCCCUUUUUGUGUCCAUCUUCAACAAAAUUGUGAAGCCUAGUAGCUUCUACUCGCUCUGAUUUGAAGAUUUCUUCCAUGCUAACACAUGAAGCCCAUUUACCAAAACAUAUUGUUGUGACAUGGUUGGUGGUCCUCCAUUAUGCGAUGUGAUGAUUCUGGUCUCCGUGCGACCAUGGUUGGUGACGUUGUUGCAUAUCUCCGUGAGCCACUUCUGCUCCUUGCUCUGUUCAAAAGGUUUUUUCAGCGCAAACAAGUGAAGCCCAAUUGCCAACGUUGAACGUUCUUGGUAUUUUUUGUUGUUUUCGUGUCACUACGGUACACUUUCUCUUGGCUCUUCUUUCAUUUCUAACUCCUUCUAUCGAAACCAAUUGCAUCCUUCGAGACGUGAACACACUUCGAAUGUCUGUCUUUUUGUCUCAUGAUUUGCUAUAUCAUUUUGUAAUUACUAGGUAACGAUGUUAAACCAAGGUAAGAAGUAAAGAUUGAAUGUAGCUUUUUCAAUUUGGGUUCUUCAAGGAUUUGGGAGGGGAGUUUGAGUCUACACUCGAGAAAGGCAAGGGGGUUUCAUUGUUUAUUGAUUAGCUCAAUCGGAAACUAAACUCCAUGUUAAAUUUUAUGCUCUAAGUUCUCAAAUCCUUUCUGGGUAUUAUGAUUUAUUGCUUAUGAGUUUACAUACAAAAAAAAAAUUGUUAAAUCAUGGAAUCCUCAUAUUUUGGUGUGAGAAUGUAAUUUGAUAUGAAUUUGUUUGUAGAGAUAACUGAAUUAAGCCUCAUUUCCACUUAUUGUUAUGCAUUGGAUUAUGGUGUUGCAACAAAUAGCAUAAUGCUCCUUUUUCUGGUCUUAUAAUUAUGUUUUUUUUUAUGAUCACAAGUUCUGUUUUAUGGAGUUGCAACAAAUAGUAUAAAUGUGGUUUUGGUACCUUCAAUGUCAAUUUUUUAAAUAUCAGUUCAAUGAGCUUGAUUUUCCUUUCACGUUUGAAUAUUAUGUUACUAAUUUUUAAAAUAUGAAUAAAUGUUAUCUUAUUUCAAUAUCUUUGGAUUUGAUUAUGCAUAUUUUCUUUUUAAGUUAUUUUUUGGAUUUGAUUGCACAUAUUUUCUUCUAUCAUGUGUACUAUUUUUAUUCUUCAAAUUUAAUUGAACUAUUGUCUUGAUUGACCUUUACUUUGUAUUUUUGGUUCUUCAAUUCAUUGUUUUCUUGCAAGGAUCUUUUCAUAGAUGUGUUGAAUUCAAUCAAAAUAGGGUGCUAAGUUAUGAAGACAUAAGCAUUAUAUUUGCAAUGGUAGGCUAUCGAGGAUGCAUCUAUCAAGGGGAGAAGGGGAUACUAUUGAAUUGAUAAAAGAAGAUACAUUAGACUCAACAUGGUUUGGUGAUUAGAGACCGAAGAAAUUGUUGCAGCUAAAAGAGGGUACCUUCUCUGCUCAAAACUAGAUCAAAGUCUCUCUAAUUAAUUGAAGAAGGGCCGAACCAUGGAGAUCUUCAACAACUUUGAGUUCUACUAUCUUUCUACCUAUUUCUCGAUUGUUCCUUCCUUGAGAAGUAAAAACUUUGUUUAGUGUUCCUUUCUUAUUUUUUUCUUCAGAAUGUGAUUCAACUUUGAUCUAACAAUGACAUUGUUUGAUUUAAAA
This is a long non-coding RNA of Glycine soja, 1693 nucleotides long. RefSeq lists it as uncharacterized. The record is from RefSeq and is a predicted model, not a curated record. Lineage: Eukaryota; Viridiplantae; Streptophyta; Magnoliopsida; Fabales; Fabaceae. The transcript is spliced from 2 exons.